UUAAAAUACUGUCUAUUUUAUAGCUCUGUCUCCUGAAAAAUAUAGAAUCUGUGUAACCCAGGAGAAAUGAGCACCCAUAGCACUCAGUCUGUGACAUCUAAGUAUCACUUCUCAGUAAAAGAAUCAUAGCGUCUUGGAGAAAUGACCAAGUCAAGGUCUCAGGCAGAAAAUGCAUAAGAUCAUUAUGGAACAACUGUUUGUGCUGGAAAGUGGGAAAGCUAUCAGAGGCAAAUAAGGAUAUAUCAAAAGGACACAGCACUAAUUUUGAGGAGCAUGGCCUAAGCAGGAAUCCCAGCUCCCGUAUAUUUUGGAGUCUUGAUUGACACUUCUUGCCUCAAAUGGGGAUUUAAAAGGUGUGGAAGUAGAGGAUCCUGCAGAUUAUAUGAUUCAGAUGCUUUUAGACACAUAUAUCUGGGACUAACUAUGAUGCUGGGCACAAUGUCCAUUUUCCUAAGCAUUGCAGUACUUUUCAUUUUAAAGAAAAAUUAUGUUUCAAAACAAAGAAGCUUCAGAACCAAGAGAGAAGGAACAAUGGUGUCUCCAAGAAUCAGGAAGGAAAAUUGUACUACAAGUGAUCAUUUGCUACAACCCAACUACUGGCCAGGCAAAGAAACUCGGCUUUAGAAAAAUGAUGACUUGAAACCAUGUUUUCUAAUUUCUGGAAAUUCUGCAAACAAAUUUUAAUCAAAAGUGUUUUAAAUGCGCAAAUUCUUUCUCCUUUCAAAAAAUUUCUACUUAGGUAUUAGAUAAUGUACCUGAUAACAAAUAUCAUAAUCAUAUUAUAGAAGAUGUAGAUGAUAAAGUUAAUCUUAGACUUUUUAAUUUAUAUAUAAAUUCCUUAUAUUGUUUACUCAUUCUGUUUAAUUUUGCCUCGUGCCCAUUGGUAUAUUAGCUUUAUUCCUAGUAGAACAAUUGUCCCUAUAGUGUAAUGGCUAUGUGUAAAGUAAUUUCUAAACUGAGAUACUUGUCUAAGAUAAGAGAAUACUGUUAAAAAUUUAAACCACUUCUUGGCCUUCAGACAUCACCUUAGUGAUGUUAGGAUGGAGCUGGUAUAUGUGGAGGAAGACUUCAUUUCAAGCUCUUCUUUUCUUUUGAAAUACAAUAACUGAUUUAGAAAUGUGUACUGGUAAAUAACCUUGAGGGAUUCAAAUUUGAAUUAUUAGCUCUUGUGACAUUCAUUACAUGUACUUUAUGUAUGACAUUUUAAGUGACCAUGGUUGUAAAGUACUAAAAUUACUGUUAACAUGCUUUAUUGUCCUUCCGUGAA
Equus caballus (horse) is the source of this 1267-nucleotide non-coding RNA. The record is from RefSeq and is a predicted model, not a curated record. NCBI's taxonomy places the organism in Eukaryota, Metazoa, Chordata, Mammalia, Perissodactyla, Equidae.